This is a long non-coding RNA of Malaclemys terrapin pileata, 662 nucleotides long. RefSeq lists it as uncharacterized. The record is from RefSeq and is a predicted model, not a curated record. The transcript has 3 exons. Lineage: Eukaryota; Metazoa; Chordata; Testudines; Emydidae.
CCAAAGGUCCAUCUAGCCCAGUAUCCUGUCUACCAACAAAAAGCAACAGCGGGUCCUGUGGCACCUUUAAGACUAACAGAAGUAUAGGGAGCAUAAGCUUUUGUGGCUCCACUACUGCAGCACCCAAAAGCCUCACUCAGGUCCGGGCCUCAUUGUGUUGGGUGCUGCAUGGAAAAUCAGAGAGAAACAGAGAUGUCUGGAGAUGGAUAGAUGAGCGUCUCCGGCAUACAGAGGAGGGGUGGAGAGGUGUGUGUGGCACAUGGAGGACAGAUGGUGAUGCUGCAGGCUGACAGCCACCACCAAGCAGAGCCUGGCCACAGAGCAGCGCUACAGCAGGUGCAUGGACCAGCUGCACACGGUGCUCCUCAUCUGCUCCGAGACGGACAAGCACGUGGGCUCCUGGCUGCUGAACAACCUGCCCCAGAUCUCACCCUCUCCUGCUACCGGAGUAGCCUGCUCACCACUGAGACCAAGACCAGCCCCCAGCUGCCCUGGCAGCCACUGACCCUAAUGUGGAGAGCCUGAUGUGUGGUGGGGGGAAACAUCCCAGUAUCUCCUCUGUAGGGUCAGGACGUAUUAUUAAAAACUGCUCCCUGUCCCAAUUUCCUAAUGGUUGCAGUUACAGGACAUAGCAAUUUUUUUGCUGUCCUGAUACAAUUCAC